CUACGGGUGGCUCCAGUAGGGAAUUUUCGGCAAUGGGGGAAACCCUGACCGAGCAACGCCGCGUGAAGGAAGAAGGAAUUCGUUUCGUAAACUUCUGUUAUAAAGGAAGAAAGAUGAUAUCAGGAAAUGGAUGUCAAGUGACGGUACUUUAUGAGAAAGCCACGGCUAACUACGUGCCAGCAGCCGCGGUAAUACGUAGGUGGCAAGCGUUAUCCGGAAUUAUUGGGCGUAAAGAGGGAGCAGGCGGUAACAAAGGUCUGUGGUGAAAGCCUGAAGCUUAACUUCAGUAAGCCAUAGAAACCAGGUAACUAGAGUGCAAGAGAGGAUCGUGGAAUUCCAUGUGUAGCGGUGAAAUGCGUAGAUAUAUGGAGGAACACCAGUGGCGAAGGCGACGAUCUGGCUUGUAACUGACGCUGAGUCCCGAAAGCGUGGGGAGCAAAUAGGAUUAGAUACCCGGGUAGUC
This 463-nucleotide ribosomal RNA is filed under the name uncultured bacterium. RNAcentral's name for it is "partial 16S ribosomal RNA". It matches the Rfam family "Bacterial small subunit ribosomal RNA", at positions 339 to 795 of the family's 1533-position model. The record is from RNAcentral.